UUAAAUAAAAAGUAGAUUAAAAAAUAAUUUUAAAUGGUGAAUCUAUUUCAUAAACUUCUUUUUGCUUUGUUUCAGAUUACUAACACAUUCUUAUAAUAAAGAUUUCUCAAUCUAUAUAAUAUCACAUGGCUAACAUUUAUAACAGAAUAAGCAACAGUUUGGGGGGGUGUUUAGUUAUGGGGCUAGAAAAUUUCCUACUUUGGUUCUAGUGAACCUGGGCCUCUAAUGAACAGAGGGAGCUGGCAGAGUUCUAACUUAAAACAGAAAUUCUCAAAACUCCCAAAGAAAAGAAGAUGCAAAGGAAAACUGUUCCCCAGGAGUUUAAGGUUACACAAACCAGCUCAGCUUCAACUAAGACAAGUGAAUAUCCACAGCAGGGGAGACUUCCAGUCAUACCAAUGGAACACAUCACACGCUAGCCUAAGAAAACCUGUUACCAGUUUGGCCUUAUGGUCUCCAGUAUGAGGGAGAUAACGAAAAGGCUGAAGUCAUCUUAUGACUUGAGGCUGUCAAGUACUUCAAAUGAGGGGGAAAGGUGCUUGACCCCAAAGCCUCUGAACCCGGUUAUUUUGAGCUAAAGUUGCUUGGAAACAAAAAUACCCAAGAAAUGGAUCACAAGGAGAGUCUGGGUGAGAGAGUUGAAGUAGUUAUCAGUCAAUGUAGAUAAAGUGUCAAAUUGCAAAGUGUUUCAAAAACAAAGUUUCAAGGUUGUUUAGGGCAGUGUUCUAACUUGACAAUUAAGUCUCAUUUUUACUGGAUACUUUAUUCCACUAGCUGGUAAGGUAAGGUAUUACACUUUGAUUGAUAGUCUUCUGAAGGUCUUGGGGCCGAAGAUAUUUUUUUGUUUUAUACUCGUGAAAAGAUUAAUAGCAACUUACUCUUCUUACCUAAUAUAAAAAUGCACCUUUGCUAGUGAACUGAUAUGGCCCUCAAGAGGAGAAAAGCUUUUCUUCACAGUUACAGUUCUUUGGCUACAUGGACAUCUCUGAAAAUGAGCUUUAAAACUGAGAUGAACACUUUAUUGUCUCAUCCCUACUAUAUUUAAAAUCUGUGUCCACUUUUGAAAGUCAUGUGCUAAAUCCUUAGUCUUUUUUUUCCCCAGCAGAUGAUCUAAAUAAGAGCCUGAUUUCAUUUACAUACACACUCACUUGCACUCCCCAACAACACUUCCUUUGAAAAACAGAAUGUCACUUCCUCAAUCCAGAGGCCAGAAGUCCCUUGGUUCUGAUCUGGGGAGCCAAGACAGGAAACUCUGAACCUCCAAGCAUGGUGCCAGGCACAAAAUAGAUGUUCAGUAAACGUUUGAGAAUGAAGGAACCAACCCUUAAAGGAUGACAAGAGCUGUGGACCCUGGGGCAUCCAGAACUCUGGAUCAUCCACACCAGUAUCUGAGAGGGUACCUGUAAGCAGUUGAAGCGCUGAAACUCAGAGAGACUGGCCUGAUAGGAGGGGCUGAGCAGCUGGAGGGGAUCAAGAAGCUUGAAAAGCAAAGAAGUCAUCACCCUCCUAUUGCACCUUAUUUAUCAGGAACUCCUCAUCUAAAUAAUUUCCUGACCAACAAAUAUUCUGAAAUAAUAUGUAAGUGUGACAAAAAGGUAAUGAGACAAAGAAUAACAAGAUUUUUUUUUUCUCUAUUAGUGUACUAGUGUCUUCUUUUAG
This is a long non-coding RNA of Odocoileus virginianus texanus, 1659 nucleotides long. RefSeq lists it as uncharacterized. The record is from RefSeq and is a predicted model, not a curated record. Lineage: Eukaryota; Metazoa; Chordata; Mammalia; Artiodactyla; Cervidae.